CUUUUAAUUGGAGGCUUGAAUGAAGGUAACUGUCUCGUAGUUUGGAUUUGAAAUUAACUUUUGUGUGAAAAGGCAUUAAUGUUUCAGGGGGACGAUAAGACCCUAUAAAGACUUUAUGAUUGGUCACCAAGGUUCACAUGAUGUGACGGUUAACUUGAACUUUAUGAGGAUCAUUGCGCUGGGGCGGCGCGGAUAUAAAUUGUAACUGUUCUUGGGAGUGAAAUAAUUAUAUUUAGCCAUUUUGACCCUGGAUUCUGGUUUAAAAGUGUAAGUUACUUUAGGGAUAACAGCGUU
This 294-nucleotide ribosomal RNA is filed under the name Alpheus cylindricus. RNAcentral describes it as "partial 16S ribosomal RNA". Lineage: Eukaryota; Metazoa; Arthropoda; Malacostraca; Decapoda; Alpheidae. The record is from RNAcentral.